This 415-nucleotide ribosomal RNA is filed under the name uncultured bacterium. RNAcentral's name for it is "bacterial SSU rRNA". It matches the Rfam family "Bacterial small subunit ribosomal RNA", at positions 355 to 786 of the family's 1533-position model. The record is from RNAcentral.
UGGGGAAUAUUGCACAAUGGGCGAAAGCCUGAUGCAGCAACGCCGCGUGAAGGAAGAAGGCCUUCGGGUCGUAAACUCCUGUCCUUGGGGAAGAAGAACUGACGGUACCCAAGGAGGAAGCCCCGGCUAACUACGUGCCAGCAGCCGCGGUAAUACGUAGGGGGCAAGCGUUAUCCGGAAUUAUUGGGCGUAAAGAGUACGUAGGUGGCAACCUAAGCGCAGGGUUUAAGGCAAUGGCUUAACCAUUGUUCGCCCUGCGAACUGGGAUGCUUGAGUGCAGGAGAGGAGAGCGGAAUUCCUAGUGUAGCGGUGAAAUGCGUAGAUAUUAGGAGGAACACCAGUGGCGAAGGCGGCUUUCUGGACUGUAACUGACACUGAGGUACGAAAGCGUGGGGAGCAAACAGGAUUAGAUACC